GGUUUUAUAGUUUAUUAAAAAUAUUGAGUUGCAAACUCAAAGAUGCAUAUAUUUGUUGAAACUU
Molecule: transfer RNA, 64 nt
Filed under: Idiosepius hallami
Lineage: Eukaryota; Metazoa; Mollusca; Cephalopoda; Idiosepiidae
Description: tRNA-Cys
Rfam family: tRNA
About the family: Transfer RNA (tRNA) molecules are approximately 80 nucleotides in length.
Source: RNAcentral